ACAGAAUUUCACAGCAUCCCGGACGCUUAGCUGCCUGCGUUGCUGUUUGAGUGUUCAAGGGACGACCCACGCCCUUCCACACCCUGGGUCGCCUUCCGACGCUUUCCUUUCCACCUCCAAAGGAAAACAGAAGCACCUGCUGGUACUGCUUUAUCCUUUUACACGGAGUUGGACACACAGAAAGAAGGGCAUCUCUUUCCUGGAAGCUAAAACAACCACAGUGGCUUCCCCCUGCUGACACUGGAUGGCUAAACCAGGAGGCUGUCGCGGAGGGAGAAGCUGGGAUGGAUCAAAGGCUCUUGGGAUUUGCUAAAAGGGCCUCGGAUUCCAUCCAUGCCUAGCUCCCAGCAGCAGAACAAACCGGGGCUAGUGUGUUAGCUUAGUUCAUGCAGCCGAGCCCGACCUGACGUGAGUUCAAAUCCGAGGACCCCCAUGAGAGGAGAGAACGCGUUCCUGUGAUCUGCACUUUCAUACUGUGAUGUGUCACAGGCAGUAAUAAAAACCUAAAUAAUAGAUAAUGCAAAACACACUACCAGAAGCUGAAAGGUGAGACAGGAGCGAGAACGGGACACACCGCACUGGGUUGGUAGAGUGCCUUCCUGGUUUCAUCCCCAGCAUCACAUAAACCAAGCCUGUUGUCACAAGUCUGUGGUCUCAGCACUCCCCGGGGUAACGCUACCCUCAGCUCCAUGACAGUAAAAGCCAGAAAGAAGCUUCUCUUGUGAGUUGAUUUCCUCUCGGUUUUUUUUUUUUUUUUUUUUUAAUUUUUGAGACAAGGUCUCUCUAUUAUAUGGCUCUGGCUGUCCUGGAACCCACGAUGUAGGCCAGGCUGGCCUCGAACUCAGAGAGACCCAUCUGCCUGUCAAAGACAUGUGCUACCGCCUGUCCAGCUUGUGUCUUUUUCUCCCUUGAGUUUUGAGGUGCUUAUGCAUGUGCUCACACAUAUAUGUAGGCCAGGGUUCAAUGUCAGGUGUCCUCCUUGGUUGCCUCUCACCUAAUUAAAAAUCAUGGUUUUAGUGUGUGUGUGUACACACAUGUGCCCAUGCGUGCUGGAGGUCAGCUGACAGCUUACAGAAGUCAGUUUUCUCCUUCCGAGUGGGUCUCCUGUCCCAGCCUGCCACACAUGGCAGUUCACACAUGGCAGUUCACACAUGGCAGUUCCCUGGCUUGGCAACAGGAGACUCACUAUAAAUAACUUGUAACUUCUGGGCUCAGCGAUCCCCUUUCUCCACCUCCUGAGCAGCUGGGACUCGCCCACCCCUGCCUUGCCCUCCCCACUGGGCCUCCUUAGAGUCACCAGGAAGGAAUCUCUUCCCAGAAGUCAAGCUGUGUGCUGAGCUGGUCACCAUGGCCAGGACGUUCCAUGAGGCUGCAGAAAACUCUCUUCCCUGACCCUGAGGUCACUGACGUCACCAAGACCCUCUUCCUGUGCAGAACCUGCUUGAAAGAAUUAUUAAUGCCGAAACGGUAUUUAUUUUAUUUUUUAUUUUUUCAUUAAAAAAAAAAUAAAGAGCACAACACGUGUUCAAAGCUUGGGUGUCACUGACAAAGAUUUGGUUCAUAUGAUCUGGGAAACAUUUCUCAGGACCUAACAGGUUAACAUAGUAGCAAACAACAGAGCAGUUAAGGUGGCUCGGUUGAGUAAAGGUGCUUGCCUGGAAGGAGAGAAGUAACUCUUACCUCCACACACACUGUGGCUGUGGCUGGAACCCUACACCUCCCUCCUCAAUUAAAUAAGUAUAAUUCUGAAAAUAAGCCAGGCUGUGGGGACACACGCUUCUAACCCCGAUACCGAGAGGCAGUAGCAGGAGACUCUAAAUUCAAAACUUGCCUGGUCUACAUCUACAGAGUGAGUUCUAGGGCAGCCAGGGCAACAUAGAGAAACUUGU
RNAcentral lists this long non-coding RNA (1889 nucleotides) under Mus pahari (shrew mouse). Its description in RNAcentral is "lncRNA (MGP_PahariEiJ_G0004237.1)". The record is from RNAcentral. Lineage: Eukaryota; Metazoa; Chordata; Mammalia; Rodentia; Muridae.